GACGUUACCUACUAGAAGAAGCACCGGCUAACUCCGUGCCAGCAGCCGCGGUAAUACGGAGGGUGCGAGCGUUAAUCGGAAUUACUGGCGUAAAGCGCAUGCAGGCGGCCUGUUAAGUCAGAUGUGAAAGCCCGGGGCUUAACCUCGGAAUUGCAUUUGAAACUGGCUAGGCUAGAGUCUUGUAGAGGGGGUAGAAUUUCAGGUGUAGCGGUGAAAAUGCGUAGAGAUCUGAAGGAAUACCAGUGGCGAAGGCGGCCCCCUGGACAAAGACUGACGCUCAGAUGCGAAAAGCGUGGGGAGCAAACAGGAUUAGAUACCCUGGUAG
This 325-nucleotide ribosomal RNA is filed under the name uncultured bacterium. RNAcentral's name for it is "bacterial SSU rRNA". It matches the Rfam family "Bacterial small subunit ribosomal RNA", at positions 471 to 793 of the family's 1533-position model. The record is from RNAcentral.